UGGGGAAUAUUGCACAAUGGAGGGAACUCUGAUGCAGCGACGCCGCGUGAACGAAGAAGGCUUUCGAGUCGUAAAGUUCUUUUAUAUGGGAAGAUAAUGACGGUACCAUAAGAAGAAGCCCCGGCUAACUACGUGCCAGCAGCCGCGGUAAUACGUAGGGGGCUAGCGUUGUCCGGAAUCACUGGGCGUAAAGGGUUCGCAGGCGGAAAAGCAAGUCAGGUGUAAAAGGCAGUAGCUUAACUACUGUAAGCAUUUGAAACUGCAUAUCUUGAGAAGAGUAGAGGUAAGUGGAAUUUUUAGUGUAGCGGUGAAAUGCGUAGAUAUUAAAAAGAAUACCGGUGGCGAAGGCGACUUACUGGGCUCAUUCUGACGCUGAGGAACGAAAGCGUGGGUAGCAAACAGG
This 403-nucleotide ribosomal RNA is filed under the name bacterium. RNAcentral describes it as "partial 16S ribosomal RNA". It matches the Rfam family "Bacterial small subunit ribosomal RNA", at positions 355 to 776 of the family's 1533-position model. The record is from RNAcentral.